GCCAGCCCGCUCAGAAACUUAAUGAAUUGACGGGGCCGCACAAGCGGAGGAGCAUGUGGUUAAUUCGAUGAUACGCGAGGAACCUUACCUGGGCUCGAACGUAAGAUGACUGUAGGUGAAAGCUUACAUCUCUUCGGAGCAUUUUACGAGGUGCUGCAUGGUUGUCGUCAGCUCGUGCCGUGAGGUGUCGGGUUAAGUCCCAUAACGAGCGCAACCCUACCUUUAGUUGCCAUCAGGUAAUGCUGGGGACUCUAAAGGAACUGCCUACGCAAGUAGUGAGGAAGGCGGGGAUGACGUCAAAUCAGCACGGCCCUUACGUCCAGGGCUACACACGUGCUACAAUGGCCGAUACAGAGGGCAGCUACCUGGUGACAGGAUGCAAAUCUCCAAAGUCGGUCUCAGUUCGGAUCGGAGUCUGCAACCCGACUCCGUGAAGUUGGAUUCGCUAGUAAUCGCGCAUCAGCCAUGGCGCGGUGAAUACGUUCCCGGGCCUU
This 494-nucleotide ribosomal RNA is filed under the name uncultured Sphingobacteriales bacterium. RNAcentral describes it as "bacterial SSU rRNA". It matches the Rfam family "Bacterial small subunit ribosomal RNA", at positions 904 to 1382 of the family's 1533-position model. The record is from RNAcentral. Lineage: Bacteria; Pseudomonadati; Bacteroidota; Sphingobacteriia; Sphingobacteriales.